RNAcentral lists this long non-coding RNA (659 nucleotides) under Bos taurus (domestic cattle). RNAcentral describes it as "long non-coding RNA NONBTAT023777". Lineage: Eukaryota; Metazoa; Chordata; Mammalia; Artiodactyla; Bovidae. The record is from RNAcentral.
CUCCAAAGACAAUGAGUAAUUAAAGGCCUUUGAAUUACUCAUGCUCGUUUUUCUGAAACCAAAGAUUUUUUUUUUUAUUGUUCUUCUAAAUAAAUUAAGGAACUAUAUUUUUAUCUCUCAAAUCUGAAAAUCAUGCUUGAAACAAAUGCUGAGUACUUCUUAAUGCUGAAAGCAGCAUUCCCUUCUGAUAAAAUACAUUUUAAUCCUCAGAAUCUGAUAUAACUGAUAAUGCCCGCAGAAACCUUUGAAUUGUUGGUGAUUGUGGGGCUGUUGUUUUGCUGUGUUGGUCAUGUAUCACUGCUGAUCUUGUCAUCCUGGGUCACUCACCCACCAACAGAUACUUAACACACUGCGUAUUCCCUCCAGGGUGAAUUAGCUGCAUGCCCAGGGCUGCUGUUUCUUGCUAAUAGCUAUUAAGUGAGCUUCUUUCUACAAAAGAAUUAGAGCAGCUAAUAAAAAUUAGAGCUCACAAAAUAGAGCACCCAGAAUACUGGAGAAAAUUUUAACUAUGAUGUAUCUUUCACAACAGAAAGAAACUUGCAAGGUUUAGUGUAAUGCAAUCAAAGAGCACAGCACACUCACACAACAAAAUGAAGCUUUGAUGCCAACAGAAAUCUGAGGCCAGGGAACCAUUCCCAAAUUUUGAACACAUUUCUACU